Molecule: non-coding RNA, 184 nt
Organism: Oryza nivara
Lineage: Eukaryota; Viridiplantae; Streptophyta; Magnoliopsida; Poales; Poaceae
Source: Rfam
ACUAAGUGUAGUAAUAGGUUCCAUAUCUAACGUCUGACCGUCCAUUUUAUUUGAUUUUUUAUAAUUAAUAUUUUUUUAUUGUUAUUAGAUAAUAAAACAUGAAUAGUACUAAUUAUUUUUUUAAUUUUUUUAAAUAAGAUGAACGGUUAAACGUUAAACACAGAAAUCUAUAAAUGCAUUUUAA